Long non-coding RNA from Aethalodelphis obliquidens (Pacific white-sided dolphin), 613 nucleotides. RefSeq lists it as uncharacterized. The transcript is spliced from 3 exons. The record is from RefSeq and is a predicted model, not a curated record. Lineage: Eukaryota; Metazoa; Chordata; Mammalia; Artiodactyla; Delphinidae.
GACGUCACAGCGCUGGAAUCCGAGGAAUGCCGGGCUGCAGGAGCUCCUUCUGCAGGCCCGGGGGAAGUCGCGCACUUUUAAUGUGGUGGCUUUGGAGAAGGUUUUCAAAGUGCCACAGAAUCGCCCCACCCAGCCUGGGUAGGCACUGGGAGGGAACUUCCUUAGCAUUUUCGGAGGUGGAGUUAAAGAGACGCAGCUGGUAAGAUGGAACAGGCACCGAGCCAGGCCGGGGAACCCGGGUUUUCGGACCUGACCUGUGAACAGGAGCCAGGAAAUGGAUGGGAGUACAGAUAAAGCAAAGAUGGCAAGGAGUUGAUGACAGCGGAAGCUCACUGAUGGAUACAUGGGAGUUCAUUAUACUAAUUGGUUAAUUUUGUAUAAGUGUGAAAUAAUAAAGUUAAAAGCCUAAUAAUAAUAAAAAGUUUAAAAGGAAAAAUAUAUUAUAAAAACAAUAUGUCCUCAUUUCAAAUAAUAUUGAAGUACAUAAUGAAAAGAUGGGUUGCCUGUUUUCACUUCCCAUUUUCAUAUUAACAUUCCCUGGAGGUAAUCACUUUAAUUCUAUACUGAUACAGACCAAGGCUUUAUGCUUUAUUUUAUAGAUAUAUAUGUUAAG